UACAGAGGGUGCGAGCGUUGUCCGGAAUCACUGGGCGUAAAGGGCGCGUAGGCGGUGGCCUAAGCGUGCGGUGAAAGCCCGGGGCUCAACCCCGGGUCGGCCGUGCGAACUGGGUCACUCGAGCACACUAGAGGCGAGUGGAAUUCCGGGUGUAGCGGUGGAAUGCGUAGAGAUCCGGAAGAACACCAGUGGCGAAGGCGGCUCGCUGGGGUGUAGCUGACGCUGAGGCGCGACAGCGUGGGGAGCAAACAGG
RNAcentral lists this ribosomal RNA (253 nucleotides) under uncultured bacterium. RNAcentral describes it as "partial 16S ribosomal RNA". It matches the Rfam family "Bacterial small subunit ribosomal RNA", at positions 524 to 776 of the family's 1533-position model. The record is from RNAcentral. RNAcentral also lists the same sequence under 2 other names.